This is a long non-coding RNA of Pieris brassicae (large cabbage white), 1137 nucleotides long. RefSeq lists it as uncharacterized. The record is from RefSeq and is a predicted model, not a curated record. Lineage: Eukaryota; Metazoa; Arthropoda; Insecta; Lepidoptera; Pieridae. The transcript is spliced from 5 exons.
UGGCAUAUGUGGGAUGUCGGGAUUCUGCACUCGGUUCUACAGUGUAAAUUGGUGUUUUAAGACUUCGAAAGGACGCUAGUUUUGUGAUUUCGGUCACAAUGCCUAAACGAUGUGUGUUUGGUUGUUUACCUAGUGAUCCCAGCCUUCAUUCAUUUCCAAACCCUAAAAGAUUCCAUCAGCCAUUCAAUUCUUGGGUUAAUGUUACUGGUGAUUUUGGAUAGACUAAUGAAGAGAUUUUAAAAAGAAAAAAGGUUGUGAUGUUCAUUUCACCGGUAGAGAUCGUAAUCUUAAUAACCGAUUAAAUGUUUUAGCCAUUCCAUCUCUUCAUUUGAAUGGCUUUCAUGGAAAACUGUAUAGGGUAUGGAACCCUAAUGAAAUGGUCAGUCAGGAAAUGGAACUGAACAACCACUCAGACGCAGUUGCCUGUGGCUCAGCAUCUACUUCUGCUAUAACCACUCAACAGAAUGUUAAGCACAACAUGAAAAGAUGAUCAAAAAGGCAUUCAGAAGAUGCUGCUAUAAUGCUGGACCAUGGUUAUUGCAAGAAAAAAUCUUCAAAAACUUCAGAAAGAACGGCGCCGUCCAAAUUGACAGCAAAUAGGUAUAGCACUUACCAAAAACAAAUUUGUAACUUGAGAAGAGAAAUCUACAGACUGCGAAAAAGUUAAGUCAUUCAUUUAAGGCGCGGCUUACAAAAGCCGAGCAUCACAAGCCAAAUUGUUUACCGCCAUGAAGAUGCAACGGCGAAAAAACAAAAGGGUCGUCGUUUUUGUAUAAGAGGAGUCCCAAGUGUUAUGCCUUGAUGCCAAAAUAUUUUACAUUGCCAUCAGCAAAAUGUUUAAAAAGAUUAAUUUGUAAAGUAAAACUAAAGCCGUUCCGAUAAAGUCAUUUAUGAAAAAUUUAAAAAAGUUGUGCAUCAUAUGCCUCGCGAAGAUAAACUGUGCACAUUAAUCUUUUACGAGAUGUCACUUACGCCGCAAGUGCAUUACGAUUCAGCAACCGACACCUUAAAAGGAUUCGCAACUCAUGGCAAACAAGUAUUUGAAAGCCAUGCAUUGGUUUUCAUGGUAAAGGGCAUUAAAAAAGGUACACACAACCUGUCGCUUAUUAUUUCACCAGUAACCUGAACAAAAAUGAA